Limulus polyphemus (Atlantic horseshoe crab) is the source of this 507-nucleotide long non-coding RNA. RefSeq lists it as uncharacterized. The record is from RefSeq and is a predicted model, not a curated record. NCBI's taxonomy places the organism in Eukaryota, Metazoa, Arthropoda, Merostomata, Xiphosura, Limulidae. The transcript is spliced from 3 exons.
UCAUCAAGUUGUUCCAAAGUAGAUGUUGCCAUUGUGGAACUGUUGCAGCAGUCUUUGCUUCUUUGACAACAACAGAAUAUUGAACAGAGAUCGUCGGAUCGUCUUAGCCUAAGCCUCCUGGAGUGUUUAGACAGUUUAUGUGCAUCCCAGCGAAUAUGUCAUUGCUGGAAACCGGCCUUCUUCGCCACAUCCCACCCAAGGCUCACUUCUCCCACGCCGGGAAUGGAAUCCAGGAGGAGGGUUCUUUGACUGAGCUAACACAGAUCGACAAGCAGACACUUUCAUAGAGGUGUACCCUAGACAUUGUUGGCAUCCGGUAACGGGCGAUAGCCGCAUCACAUAUCUUGUCUUGCCAGCCUAGUUUAACGUCUUAUCUUAGUUGUCAACCGGUUUGGAAUGUCAGUACAAGUUCUUGUUUUGUACGAAGUUAAACAAUACUUUGUGUUGAACAUUUGCAUACUGUGUACUUUUAUUGUCGGGAUACAGUAAAACUGUCAGUAGCAAUUA